ACGAACGCUGGCGGCGUGCCUAAUGCAUGCAAGUCGAACGGUCCUUCUAUGGAAGCUUGCUUCCACUGAGAAGAUAGUGGCGAACGGGUGAGUAACACGUGGGUAACCUGCCCAUAAGAGGGGGAUAACAUCCGGAAACGGGUGCUAAUACCGCAUUGUUUUCUUGAUCGCAUGAUCGGGAAAGGAAAGACGGCCUUUGUGCUGUCGCUUAUGGAUGGACCCGCGGCGUAUUAGUUAGUUGGUGAGGUAACGGCUCACCAAGACGAUGAUACGUAGCCGACCUGAGAGGGUGAUCGGCCACAUUGGGACUGAGACACGGCCCAAACUCCUACGGGAGGCAGCAGUAGGGAAUCUUCCGCAAUGGACGAAAGUCUGACGGAGCAACGCCGCGUGAGUGAAGAAAGGUUUUCGGAUCGUAAAACUCUGUUGUCAGAGAAGAACAAGUUGGAGAGUAACUGCUCCAGCCUUGACGGUAUCUGACCAGAAAGCCACGGCUAACUACGUGCCAGCCGCAGC
This 516-nucleotide ribosomal RNA is filed under the name uncultured bacterium. RNAcentral's name for it is "bacterial SSU rRNA". It matches the Rfam family "Bacterial small subunit ribosomal RNA", at positions 29 to 518 of the family's 1533-position model. The record is from RNAcentral.